CUUGCCCCUAGAGACAUUGCAGACGUAGCUGCUGUGUCACAUAUGUGUCAAUAGGUGGCAGAGAGGAGAGAGGCUAUCUGCUCUCAGUGUUCUGACCUACAGACAUCUGAAUGAUUAGCAGCCUAACACU
Small nucleolar RNA from Grammomys surdaster, 130 nucleotides. RefSeq annotates it as small nucleolar RNA SNORA17. Lineage: Eukaryota; Metazoa; Chordata; Mammalia; Rodentia; Muridae. The record is from RefSeq and is a predicted model, not a curated record. The transcript has a single exon.